This 1844-nucleotide long non-coding RNA is filed under the name Zostera marina. Its description in RNAcentral is "long non-coding RNA (ZMAR_LNC001102)". The record is from RNAcentral. Lineage: Eukaryota; Viridiplantae; Streptophyta; Magnoliopsida; Alismatales; Zosteraceae.
GCAAACUCAAGAGCUUUCACUCCACACUUGCCCACACGUUUUUGCCUCCAAGCUUCCAAACUUUCAAGUGCUCAAGUGUCCUAGCUUUCCAAAGCUUCAAAAGCUCUCCAACUUCUUCUUCUAAUCUUCUUGUUCAUCUUUACAAGUAAGAAGUGUUGAUUGCUUUAAAUAUUCCACUCCUCUAAUCACCUCUUGUGUGUGUCCACUUUGGUUGAGAGAGUUGUCUCAAUAGUACCAAAGUGUGAGUGAAGGUUUUUGAGCUCAACCAUAAAGCUCUAGUUUGGUUUUAUAGAGUUUCCGGGAAAACUCUUAGGUCGAGUCUACCUUUAAAGAUUUCAGAGGUUUUUAAGAGUUCCUUGAUACUCUAAGGUACUAACUUACCCGCAAAAGUUAGAGGUUCUUAAGAGUGCCCUUGAUACUCUAAGGUGUGAGUCUACCCGUAAAAGAAUGGUUCCUAAGCGAAGUAGCCUUAAAGCUUAGAGAGGUUUUUAAGAGUUCCUUGAUACUCUAAGAUACUAACUUACCCGCAAAAGUUAGAGGUUCUUAAGAGUGCCCUUGAUACUUUAAGGUGUGAGUCUACCCGUAAAAGAUUGGUUCCUAAGCGAAGUAGCCUUAAAGCUUAGAGAGGUUCUUAAGAGUUUCCUUGAUACUCUAAGGUUUUGUCAUAACCUUUAAGCGAGUGAAUUCCGACAGUUGGUCGGGACUGGACUAGCCCUUGUUUGGGUGAACCAGUAUAAAUCUCUUGUGUUGUUCUUUGUUAACUCUAGUUUUUAUCUUUCAUCUAAAAACAACUAAACAAUACUUAAUUGAAAAGGAUCCCUCUUCCAGUUAUCUGGUCAAAUACAGAGGUUGACUACUUUACGCAGAUCCCUCAUCCAGUUAUCUGGUCAACUAUCUGAGGUUAUAUUCAUUGCUUUAAAUCUUUAUUCAUAUAUUUAUUCAAGCAUUUACUUAUCAUAUAUAUAUCCAGUUAUCUGGUCAUUUACUUGUUUAUCAAUAUAUCCAGUUAUCUGGUCAUUUACUUGCUUAUCAAUAUAUCCAGUUAUCUGGUCAUUUACUCUAUGAUAUAACUUGUGUUUAUAAUAUAACUUAGUAUUCAUAUACUAUAGUUGUUUAUAAAACACCAUCUGAAAAGUUGACUACGUAUUCAUAUACUGUAGUAAACUUCAAGAGCAAAAGGCAAGUUCAAUAUAUAAUAUUAUAUUCUUUAAAAUUAUAUAAUAGUAUUGUAUUGUUAACAAUAUUAUACUAUUAUUGUUAUACAACCAUUUGUGUACUUAAGUGUGUGCAGGUAAUUCCGCUAUUAACUUGCAUAAAUCGAAAAGAAGCUAUUAUCCCCCCUUAUAACCUCGGAUCUCGAUCCAACAAUUAUUUCUUACAAGGGCUUGUACUUCAAAUUCCAUUGCAUGAACCCAAUCAACAAAUGUAGCAACUUGCUUGAAGGUGUUGGGUUCGGUCAUAUCAUCAACCGUUGUGAGUUGAAGACCAGCUAAGGCCUUGUAGUCAACUAUUGGAACAUUUCGUCGUGAUCGUCUAGAUGGAUGUAGUAAUGGAGGAUCAGGUGGUGGUGGUGGAGAAUCAACCUGAAUUGAGGAUGAUGGUGAGUUUGAGGUGGUGGGACUUGUAUCUGGCGAUGGCGAUCUGUUUGGGAUUGGUCUUUGACUUAUGAUUGACAAAGAUUGAUUUAUAUCCGACGGACUUGAGUAGAUCACUUGAUCACUGAUAAAUGGAUCAUUUUGUUUGUAAAGUUGAUCCGGGACAAUCACCUCAUUAUUCGUCUGAUGUUGCUUUGUCUGUACCUGUAAAUUUGCAAAUGGGAAGGACUCCUCCAAAAACUUACAGUG